RNAcentral lists this ribosomal RNA (482 nucleotides) under uncultured bacterium. RNAcentral describes it as "partial 16S ribosomal RNA". It matches the Rfam family "Bacterial small subunit ribosomal RNA", at positions 28 to 523 of the family's 1533-position model. The record is from RNAcentral.
GAUGAACGCUGGCGGCGUGCAUAACACAUGCAAGUCGAACGAUGAAGCCCAGCUUGCUGGGUGGAUUAGUGGCGAACGGGUGAGUAACACGUGAGUAACCUGCCCUUAACUCUGGGAUAAGCCUGGGAAACUGGGUCUAAUACCGGAUAGGAGCGUCCACCGCAUGGUGGGUGUUGGAAAGAUUUAUCGGUUUUGGAUGGACUCGCGGCCUAUCAGCUUGUUGGUGAGGUAAUGGCUCACCAAGGCGACGACGGGUAGCCGGCCUGAGAGGGUGACCGGCCACACUGGGACUGAGACACGGCCCAGACUCCUACGGGAGGCAGCAGUGGGGAAUAUUGCACAAUGGGCGAAAGCCUGAUGCAGCGACGCCGCGUGAGGGAUGACGGCCUUCGGGUUGUAAACCUCUUUCAGUAGGGAAGAAGCGAAAGUGACGGUACCUGCAGAAGAAGCACCGGCUAACUACGUGCCAGCAGCCGCGGUAA